UCUCCGUAGGUGAACCUGCGGAGGGAUCAUUACAGAGUUCAUGCCCUACCGGGUAGAUCUCCCACCCUAUGUUAUUAUUACUUUGUUGCUUUGGCGGGCCGUUAGGCUCCGGCCCGACUACCGGCCCCGGCUGGUAAGCGCCCGCCAGAGGACCCAAAACCCUGAAUAUUAGUGUCGUCUGAGUACUAUAUAACAGUUAAAACUUUCAACAACGGAUCUCUUGGUUCUG
Molecule: unclassified non-coding RNA, 229 nt
Filed under: plant metagenome
Description: partial contains small subunit ribosomal RNA, internal transcribed spacer 1, and 5.8S ribosomal RNA
Source: RNAcentral